Molecule: ribosomal RNA, 162 nt
Filed under: uncultured Enterobacter sp.
Lineage: Bacteria; Pseudomonadati; Pseudomonadota; Gammaproteobacteria; Enterobacterales; Enterobacteriaceae
Description: partial 16S ribosomal RNA
Rfam family: Bacterial small subunit ribosomal RNA
Source: RNAcentral
GUUAAAACUCAAAUGAAUUGACGGGGGCCCGCACAAGCGGUGGAGCAUGUGGUUUAAUUCGAUGCAACGCGAAGAACCUUACCUACUCUUGACAUCCAGAGAACUUAGCAGAGAUGCUUUGGUGCCUUCGGGAACUCUGAGACAGGUGCUGCAUGGCUGUCG